CCUACGGGAGGCAGCAGUGAGGACUAUUGGUCAAUGGACGAGCGUCUGACCCAGCCAAGUAGCGUGAAGGAUGACUGACCUAUGGGUUGUACACUUCUUUUAUAAAGGAAUAAAACGAGGCACGUGUGCCUUUUUGCAUGUACUUUAUGACUAAGGAUCGGCUAACUCCGUGCCAGCAGCCGCGGUAAUACGGAGGAUCCGAGCGUUAUCCGGAUUUAUUGGGUUUAAAGGGAGAGUAGAUGGGUUGUUAAGUCAGUUGUGAAAGUUUGCGGCUCAACCGUAAAAUUGCAAUUGAUACUGGCAGUCUAGAGUACAGUUGAGGUAGGCGGAAUUCGUGGUGUAGCGGUGAAAUGCUUAGAUAUCACGAAGAACCCCGAGUGCGAAGGCAGCUUACUAAACUGUGACUGACAUUGAUGCGCGAAAGUGUGGGUAUCAAACAGGAUUAGAUACCCCAGUAGUC
This 460-nucleotide ribosomal RNA is filed under the name uncultured bacterium. RNAcentral's name for it is "partial 16S ribosomal RNA". It matches the Rfam family "Bacterial small subunit ribosomal RNA", at positions 338 to 795 of the family's 1533-position model. The record is from RNAcentral.